RNAcentral lists this ribosomal RNA (271 nucleotides) under uncultured soil bacterium. RNAcentral's name for it is "partial 16S ribosomal RNA". It matches the Rfam family "Bacterial small subunit ribosomal RNA", at positions 26 to 284 of the family's 1533-position model. The record is from RNAcentral.
AGAAUCAACGCUGGCGGCGUGCCUAACACAUGCAAGUCGAACGCGAAAGGGGAGCAAUCCCUGAGUAGAGUGGCAAACGGGUGAGUAACACGUGGGUGACCUGCCUCAGAGUGGGGGAUAACGUCCCGAAAGGGACGCUAAUACCGCAUAACAUCCUGCCUUUGGAAAGGCGGAGAUCAAAGCCGGGGAUCGCAAGACCUGGCGCUUGGAGAGGGGCCCGCGUCUGAUUAGCUAGUUGGUAGGGUAAUGGCCUACCAAGGCAACGAUCAGU